RNAcentral lists this ribosomal RNA (520 nucleotides) under uncultured bacterium. Its description in RNAcentral is "bacterial SSU rRNA". It matches the Rfam family "Bacterial small subunit ribosomal RNA", at positions 373 to 884 of the family's 1533-position model. The record is from RNAcentral.
GGACGAAAGUCUGAUGGAGCAACGCCGCGUGAGCGAAGAAGGCCUUCGGGUCGUAAAGCUCUGUUGUUAGGGAAGAACAAGUAUCGGAGUAACUGCCGGUACCUUGACGGUACCUAACCAGAAAGCCACGGCUAACUACGUGCCAGCAGCCGCGGUAAUACGUAGGUGGCAAGCGUUGUCCGGAAUUAUUGGGCGUAAAGCGCGCGCAGGCGGUCCUUUAAGUCUGAUGUGAAAGCCCACGGCUCAACCGUGGAGGGUCAUUGGAAACUGGGGGACUUGAGUGCAGAAGGGGAAAGCGGAAUUCCACGUGUAGCGGUGAAAUGCGUAGAGAUGUGGAGGAACACCAGUGGCGAAGGCGGCUUUCUGGUCUGUAACUGACGCUGAGGCGCGAAAGCGUGGGGAGCAAACAGGAUUAGAUACCCUGGUAGUCCACGCCGUAAACGAUGAGUGCUAAGUGUUAGGGGGUUUCCGCCCCUUAGUGCUGCAGCUAACGCAUUAAGCACUCCGCCUGGGGAGUACG